RNAcentral lists this ribosomal RNA (491 nucleotides) under uncultured bacterium. RNAcentral's name for it is "bacterial SSU rRNA". It matches the Rfam family "Bacterial small subunit ribosomal RNA", at positions 903 to 1397 of the family's 1533-position model. The record is from RNAcentral.
AAAGGAAUUGACGGGGGCCCGCACAAGCAGUGGAUUAUGUGGUUUAAUUCGAAGCAACGCGAAGAACCUUACCGGGGCUUGACAUCUAACUAACGAGGCAGAGAUGCGUUAGGUGCCCUUCGGGGAAAGUUAAGACAGGUGGUGCAUGGUUGUCGUCAGCUCGUGUCGUGAGAUGUUGGGUUAAGUCCCGCAACGAGCGCAACCCCUAUUGUUAGUUGCUACGCAAGAGCACUCUAGCGAGACUGCCGUUGACAAAACGGAGGAAGGCGGGGACGACGUCAAAUCAUCAUGCCCCUUAUGUCCCGGGCUACACACGUAAUACAAUGGCGGAAAACAAAGGGAAGCGAAGUCGCGAGGUGGAGCAAAUCCCCAAAAGCCGUCUCAGUUCGGAUUGCAGGCUGCAACUCGCCUGCAUGAAGUCGGAAUUGCUAGUAAUCGCGGAUCAGCACGCCGCGGUGAAUACGUUCCCGGGCCUUGUACACACCGCCCGU